GUGGUAUAGCUCAGAUGGUUAGAGCGUGGGAUUCAUAACCCCAAGGUCGCCGGUUCGAUUCCAGCUACCACC
Molecule: transfer RNA, 72 nt
Filed under: uncultured Ottowia sp.
Lineage: Bacteria; Pseudomonadati; Pseudomonadota; Betaproteobacteria; Burkholderiales; Comamonadaceae
Rfam family: tRNA
About the family: Transfer RNA (tRNA) molecules are approximately 80 nucleotides in length. Their secondary structure includes four short double-helical elements and three loops (D, anti-codon, and T loops). Further hydrogen bonds mediate the characteristic L-shaped molecular structure. tRNAs have two regions of fundamental functional importance: the anti-codon, which is responsible for specific mRNA codon recognition, and the 3' end, to which the tRNAs corresponding amino acid is attached (by aminoacyl-tRNA synthetases). tRNAs cope with the degeneracy of the genetic code in two manners: having more than one tRNA (with a specific anti-codon) for a particular amino acid; and 'wobble' base-pairing, i.e. permitting non-standard base-pairing at the 3rd anti-codon position.
Source: RNAcentral